UUGGAGGGCAAGUCUGGUGCCAGUAGCCGCGGUAAUUCCAGCUCCAAUAGCGUAUAUUAAAGUUGUUGCAGUUAAAAAGCUCGUAGUUGAAUUUCGGGGUUAGUAGGUUGGUCAUGCCUCUGGUAUGUACUGGUCUCACUGAUUCCUCCUUCCUUAUGAACCGUAAUGCCAUUAAUUUGGUGUUGCGGGGAAUUUGGAUUGUUACUUUGAAAAAAUUGAGUGUUUAAAGCAAGCUAACGCUUGAAUACAUUAGCAUGGAAUAAUGAAAAUAGGACGUUCG
Molecule: ribosomal RNA, 280 nt
Filed under: uncultured Glomus
Lineage: Eukaryota; Fungi; Glomeromycota; Glomeromycetes; Glomerales; Glomeraceae
Description: partial 18S ribosomal RNA
Rfam family: Eukaryotic small subunit ribosomal RNA
Source: RNAcentral